CAUUUUUACGCCUGAAGUGAAACGCAAUGAGGAUGUGGCUGGGCCUGAGUUUAUUGCACGUUCCUGGUCCCUUGAGGUGUGAUGAAGUUGAGUUUACUGAUCAAAAUUGCCUUAUUCUGCUCUUUCCAAUACCAGUUUGUAUCAGUAACCAAAUCAAAGUGGGCUGUGACAGACAGAAGGAUUAUUCAACUAAGAGGACUCGUGA
Chiloscyllium plagiosum (whitespotted bambooshark) is the source of this 205-nucleotide non-coding RNA. Lineage: Eukaryota; Metazoa; Chordata; Chondrichthyes; Orectolobiformes; Hemiscylliidae. The record is from RefSeq and is a predicted model, not a curated record.